UAUUGGGCGUAAGCGCGCGCAGGCGGUUUCUUAAGUCUGAUGUGAAAGCCCCCGGCUCAACCGGGGAGGGUCAUUGGAAACUGGGAAACUUGAGUGCAGAAGAGGAAAGUGGAAUUCCAAGUGUAGCGGUGAAAUGCGUAGAGAUUUGGAGGAACACCAGUGGCGAAGGCGACUUUCUGGUCUGUAACUGACGCUGAGGCGCGAAAGCGUGGGGAGCAAACAGGAUUAGAUACCCUGGUAGUCCACGCUGUAAACGAUGAGUGCUAAGUGUUAGAGGGUUUCCGCCCUUUAGUGCUGAAGUUAACGCAUUAAGCACUCCGCCUGGGGAGUACGGUCGCAAGACUGAAACUCAAAGGAAUUGACGGGGGCCCGCACAAGUGGUGGAGCAUGUGGUUUAAUUCGAAGCAACGCGAAGAACCUUACCAGGUCUUGACAUCCUCUGACAACCCUAGAGAUAGGGCUUUCCCUUCGGGGACAGAGUGACAGGUGGUGCAUGGUUGUCGUCAGCUCGUGUCGUGAGAUGUUGGGUUAAGUCCCGCAACGAGCGCAACCCUUGAUCUUAGUUGCCAGCAUUCAGUUGGGCACUCUAAGGUGACUGCCGGUGACAAACCGGAGGAAGGUGGGGAUGACGUC
This 633-nucleotide ribosomal RNA is filed under the name Bacillus shandongensis. RNAcentral describes it as "bacterial SSU rRNA". It matches the Rfam family "Bacterial small subunit ribosomal RNA", at positions 552 to 1186 of the family's 1533-position model. The record is from RNAcentral. Lineage: Bacteria; Bacillati; Bacillota; Bacilli; Caryophanales; Bacillaceae.